GUGGCAAGCGUUGUCCGGAUUUAUUGGGCGUAAAGCGAGUGCAGGCGGUUUCAUAAAGCUGAUGUGAAAGCCUUCGGCUCAACCGGAGAAUUUCAUCAGAAACUGUUGAACUUGAGUGCAGAAGAGGAGAGUGGAACUCCAUGUGUAGCGGUGGAAUGCGUAGAUAUAUGGAAGAACACCAGUGGCGAAGGCGGCUCUCUGGUCUGCAACUGACGCUGAGGCUCGAAAGCAUGGGUAGCGAACA
This 244-nucleotide ribosomal RNA is filed under the name uncultured bacterium. RNAcentral's name for it is "partial 16S ribosomal RNA". It matches the Rfam family "Bacterial small subunit ribosomal RNA", at positions 531 to 774 of the family's 1533-position model. The record is from RNAcentral.